This 1022-nucleotide ribosomal RNA is filed under the name Fusarium equiseti. RNAcentral's name for it is "partial large subunit ribosomal RNA". It matches the Rfam family "Eukaryotic large subunit ribosomal RNA", at positions 71 to 1123 of the family's 3401-position model. The record is from RNAcentral. Lineage: Eukaryota; Fungi; Ascomycota; Sordariomycetes; Hypocreales; Nectriaceae.
GGGAUUGCCCUAGUAACGGCGAGUGAAGCGGCAACAGCUCAAAUUUGAAAUCUGGCUCUCGGGCCCGAGUUGUAAUUUGUAGAGGAUGCUUUUGAUGCGGUGCCUUCCGAGUUCCCUGGAACGGGACGCCAUAGAGGGUGAGAGCCCCGUCUGGUUGGAUGCCAAAUCUCUGUAAAGCUCCUUCGACGAGUCGAGUAGUUUGGGAAUGCUGCUCUAAAUGGGAGGUAUAUGUCUUCUAAAGCUAAAUACCGGCCAGAGACCGAUAGCGCACAAGUAGAGUGAUCGAAAGAUGAAAAGCACUUUGAAAAGAGAGUUAAAAAGUACGUGAAAUUGUUGAAAGGGAAGCGUUUAUGACCAGACUUGGGCUUGGUUAAUCAUCUGGGGUUCUCCCCAGUGCACUUUUCCAGUCCAGGCCAGCAUCAGUUUUCGCCGGGGGAUAAAGGCUUCGGGAAUGUGGCUCUCUCCGGGGAGUGUUAUAGCCCGUUGCGUAAUACCCUGGCGGGGACUGAGGUUCGCGCAUCUGCAAGGAUGCUGGCGUAAUGGUCAUCAACGACCCGUCUUGAAACACGGACCAAGGAGUCGUCUUCGUAUGCGAGUGUUCGGGUGUCAAACCCCUACGCGUAAUGAAAGUGAACGCAGGUGAGAGCUUCGGCGCAUCAUCGACCGAUCCUGAUGUUCUCGGAUGGAUUUGAGUAAGAGCAUACGGGGCCGGACCCGAAAGAAGGUGAACUAUGCCUGUGUAGGGUGAAGCCAGAGGAAACUCUGGUGGAGGCUCGCAGCGGUUCUGACGUGCAAAUCGAUCGUCAAACAUGGGCAUGGGGGCGAAAGACUAAUCGAACCUUCUAGUAGCUGGUUUCCGCCGAAGUUUCCCUCAGGAUAGCAGUGUUGAACUCAGUUUUAUGAGGUAAAGCGAAUGAUUAGGGACUCGGGGGCGCUAUUUAGCCUUCAUCCAUUCUCAAACUUUAAAUAUGUAAGAAGCUCUUGUUGCUUAAUUGAACGUGAGCAUUCGAAUGUAUCAACAC